RNAcentral lists this long non-coding RNA (276 nucleotides) under Elaeis guineensis (African oil palm). Its description in RNAcentral is "long non-coding RNA (EGUI_LNC051472)". Lineage: Eukaryota; Viridiplantae; Streptophyta; Magnoliopsida; Arecales; Arecaceae. The record is from RNAcentral.
UAAGCUUAUGUCUAUCAAUAUUUUUUAUAUUAGUCAGGCAACCUCAAAUCUUAAGAUGUUUAAGAUUGGAUCUCUUUCCUUUCUAUAUCUUAUAUGGAGUGCUAGAGACAGAUUUAGAAGGCACUUUGUUCAAAACAUAUGCUGCGGUCUCGAGAGCAUAUCUCUAAAAAGAUGAUCGAAAGAUCCGUGAAACACAUUAUAGACCGCACUAUAUUUAAUAAGAUGAGAUUUUUUUUCUGUAAUUUCAUUUAAUUAUGGAGUAUAAGGAGGUGUCCA